AGAGUUUGAUCCUGGCUCAGGACUAACGCUGGCGGCGUGCUUAACACAUGCAAGUGGAGCGACGAACCAGGGCUUGCCCUGGGGCAGAGCCGCGAACGGGUGAGUAACACGUGGGUAACCUACCUCGAUGACCGGUACAACCCGAGGAAACUCGGGCUAAUACCGGAUGUGCUCCGUCCUCUCAAGGGGAUUGAGUAAAGAUAGCUUUGGCCUUCGCAUCGAGACGGGCCCGCGGCCCAUUAGCUUGUUGGUGAGGUAACGGCUCACCAAGGCUGCGAUGGGUAGCUGGUCUGAGAGGACGAUCAGCCACACUGGGACUGAGACACGGCCCGGGCUCCUACGGGAGGCAGCAGUGGGGAAUCUUGCGCAAUGCGCGAAAGCGUGACGCAGCAACACCGCGUGGGGGAAGAAGGCCUUCGGGUUGUAAACCCCUUUCAGUUGGGACGAAGCUUCGAGGGUUAAUAGCUCUCUGGAGUGACGGUACCUUCAGAAGAAGCCCCGGCUAACUACGUGCCAGCAGCCGCGGUAAUACGUAGGGGGCUAGCGUUGUCCGGAAUCAUUGGGCGUAAAGCGCGAAUAGGCGGUCCGGUAAGUCCGCUGUGAAAGUCGGGGGCUCAACCCUCGGAUGCCGGUGGAUACUGUCGGGCUUGAGUACGGAAGAGGCGAGUGGAAUUCCUGGUGUAGCGGUGAAAUGCGCAGAUAUCAGGAGGAACACCACUUGCGAAGGCAGCUCGCUGGGACGUUACUGACGCUGAGACGCGAAAGCGUGGGGAGCAAACAGGAUUAGAUACCCUGGUAGUCCACGCCCUAAACGAUGGAUACUAGGCGUAGGAGGUAUCGACCCCUCCUGUGCCGCAGCAAACGCAUUAAGUAUCCCGCCUGGGGAGUACGGCCGCAAGGUUGAAACUCAAAUGAAUUGACGGGGACCCGCACAAGCGGUGGAGCAUGCGGAUUAAUUCGAUACUAACCGAAGAACCUUACCCACUCUUGACAUUGAAGGAAAGCUCUAGAGAUAGAGCCCUCUCUCACAAGGAGACCUGAAAACAGAUGUUGCAUGGCUGUCGUCAGCUCGUGCCGUGAGGUGUACGGUUAAGUCCGCCAACGAGCGCAACCCUCGUUCUGUGUUACCAGCGAGUAAUGUCGGGCACUCACAGGAGACCGCCGGUGUAAGCCGGAGGAAGGUGGGGAUGAUGUCAAGUCAGCAUGGCUCUUACGAGUGGGGCUUCACACAUGCUACAAUGGGCGCAACAAAGGGCAGCGAUACCGCGAGGUGGAGCAAAUCCCAAAAAUACGUCCUCAGUUCAGAUUGCAGUCUGCAACUCGACUCUAUGAAGCUGGAAUCGCUAGUAAUCGCGCAUCAGCCAUGGCGCGGUGAAUACGUUCCCGGGCCUUGUACACACCGCCCGUCAAACAAUGGAAGCUGGGGGUGCCUGAAGUC
This 1438-nucleotide ribosomal RNA is filed under the name metagenome. RNAcentral's name for it is "bacterial SSU rRNA". It matches the Rfam family "Bacterial small subunit ribosomal RNA". The record is from RNAcentral.